This 233-nucleotide ribosomal RNA is filed under the name uncultured Planctomycetales bacterium. RNAcentral's name for it is "partial 16S ribosomal RNA". It matches the Rfam family "Bacterial small subunit ribosomal RNA", at positions 439 to 663 of the family's 1533-position model. The record is from RNAcentral. Lineage: Bacteria; Pseudomonadati; Planctomycetota; Planctomycetia; Planctomycetales.
GGAGUUAAGAAAUGCGGUUGGCAGAAUACGCCGGCCGUUUGACAAAGGCUCCAGAGGAAGCCACGGCUAACUUCGUGCCAGCAGCCGCGGUAACACGAAGGUGGCAAGCGUUGUUCGGAAUUAUUGGGCAUAAAGGGCACGUAGGCGGAGAGGUAAGUUGGUGGUGAAAUCCCCCGGCUCAACCGGGGAACUGCCUCCGAUACUGCCUUUCUGGAGUGCAGGAGGGGAGAGUG